UGUAAGCGUAUACCAAAGUUGUUGCAGUUAAAACGCUCGUAGUCGGAAUUUGGCAGUUCCGGAUGUGUGCACGUCGUGUGCGCACUUCGCGGGGAUUGCUUUUGUGGUCUUGCGUAGGAUUAGGCACUUUUAUUAGUGAACGUCCUCACGCAACCACUUUUUACUGUGAGAAAAUCAGAGUGCUCAAAGCAGGCAUUUGCCGUGAAUGUAUUAGCAUGGAAUAAUAGAAUAGGACUUGGUUCUAUUUUGUUGGUUUGUUGGGACUGAGUAAUGAUUAAGAGGGACAGUUGGGGGCAUUUGUAUUUCGGUGCUAGAGGUGAAAUUCUUAGAUUACCGAAAGACAAACUGCUGCGAAAGCGUCUGCCAAGGAUGUUUUCAUUGA
RNAcentral lists this ribosomal RNA (382 nucleotides) under uncultured eukaryote. RNAcentral's name for it is "partial 18S ribosomal RNA". It matches the Rfam family "Eukaryotic small subunit ribosomal RNA", at positions 592 to 976 of the family's 1831-position model. The record is from RNAcentral.